Molecule: long non-coding RNA, 1067 nt
Filed under: Cyanistes caeruleus (blue tit)
Lineage: Eukaryota; Metazoa; Chordata; Aves; Passeriformes; Paridae
Description: lncRNA (ENSCCEG00000013282.1)
Source: RNAcentral
CUCUAAGUGGCCCCAGGGGUUCAGGGAAAGCAGAAAGAUUUGUUGCCCCAGAAUUUAAUUAGAUGCUGCUAUUCACUGUAAGGUGGGGUCUGCUUUAAAUAUGACAGGCAGCUCUUUCAAAACAGCUGGAGGUGGAGAGGAAGGUGGAGGAGUACAGGAUGAGUUUCUUUCUUCAACAAGAGAGAGGGAGUGGGGAGGUGCAUGACACUGAAUCAUAUCUGCACUCUUUUGUAUUGAAAAAUAGACUGAGGAGAGGCUCUGCUCCUGACACAGGCCCUCAGCCAGCGGGUGCCUGGGGAUGUUCAGAGACCAUGAAACCAUCCUGCAUGACUUGCUGCCAUUAGGAGCCUCUCAUGAAGCACUUCUUGCUAGAUUCAGUACUGACAUUGAGAGAAGAUUCAAACCCCAGAAGCUGUCACAGAGUUGUGUUUGGAACUGAUGUGUCCUGAAUGUUCAGUGUAAUUCCCUCUGGUUAAGGUUUUGCCUACGUCACCUUUCAAAAUAUUUAACUUAAAUCUUGACUUGUCAUUGGAUAACUUAUCUGCAGAAUCUUGGUAUCAGGGCUGUUGCAACCAAAACAGACUGAGGAAGUAAUAUAACCAGGUCUGUGAGAAGAAAAAAAACCCUUUAAUAGAUCAACUGUUACACUUUCCAUGGAAAACAUUCAGACUCAAGCUUUUCUUACAGUAAGAACCAGAAAUAACUAAGAAACUUUUGGGAUCUUGCAAUCUCAUUUUGUAAAAAUAUGAAAUUCCUGGAUUCUGGCCACAGAGAUUUGACAAUUUUCAAAGACAUCACUUCCACAGAGUUUCUAUAACAGCUGUAGUGAGGCUUUAUUUAGCCAAAUGCCUGUAAUACAUGUUUAUCUCCCUUGCAGUACUGAGCCAGAUGUCAAGUGGAAGGCUUGGAGUGAUUUUUUUUUAGUUUUUAGAUUGACUGAAACUUUUUUUUGUCUUUCCAGUGUGGUGGUGCAGAAAUCAUUGAGCUGCACUUUGACAUUAAUGGGAAGAUCUCAGAUGGAGCUAAGGGCUGAAAUAGAGACUCCUUUUAAGGUUUUUCCUUCUUGA